This 3939-nucleotide unclassified non-coding RNA is filed under the name Hevea brasiliensis (rubber tree). The record is from RNAcentral. Lineage: Eukaryota; Viridiplantae; Streptophyta; Magnoliopsida; Malpighiales; Euphorbiaceae.
CUCACUCAUGAUUCGAGAUGACCAAAAAACCACCGCGUCCUUCUUUUUUUAAAUUUGAUUAAUCCUCUUCGCUCAACUUCGAAUCAUUUGGCUCAGACCUGCAUUAAACCAAAACCAUGGCGUCGAUGGCGUCAGUCCUCCGUCGAAGGCUCAACGUCAAUCCCUUCCUCAUCCAAGUAAGACUCCUCUCCGUUGAAUCUCCUUCUCGUAUAAAUGAAACGACACAGCGCAUAGAGAAAAUAUUGGUUGCGAACCGAGGUGAAAUUGCUUGUAGGAUCAUGAGGACUGCGAAGCGGCUAGGUAUUCGAACCGUAGCCGUUUACAGUGACGCUGACAGAAACUCUCUUCAUGUUAAAUCAGCUGACGAGGCUGUUCAUAUAGGUCCACCUCCGGCAAGGUUGAGUUAUUUGAAUGGUUCGUCAAUUGUUGAGGCUGCCAUUCGUACUGGUGCUCAGCUGAGCAGUGCCAGGCUAUCGAGAAAUUCUAGAAAGAUAUGGUUUCUUAUCAGAGAUUGCUGACAUUGCUAAACUUUGUGAAGACAAGGGUUUUACAAUUAUUGGCUCUCCAGCCUCAGCGAUUCAGGACAUGGGAGAGAAAAGUGCAUCUGAGAGGAUAAUGGGUGCUGCAGGGGUGCCAUUUGUCCCAGGCCAUCAUGGCAGUGAGCAAGAUAUUGAACUCAUGAAGUCAGAAGCAGAUAAAAUUGGAUACCAUAUCUUGAUAAAGCCAACCUAUGGAGGUGGAGGAAAGGUAUGCCAUUUUCUUGCAACUUAAAUUGUUUUCAUACCAUCAGCAACUGAUGUUACCUAAGCUAUUAAUGAUAUGUUGGGGUAUUGGAAUAUGCAUCUAUAAUCAUGCACAUGUUGAUGAAAUAUUACUAAAAUAACUACUUUUGGGACGUUUUCUUUAAAAAAAAAAAAUCCUUGCUCAGGGAGGAAAAUAAUAUGUGAAUCAGGUUUUUCUUGUCAAGUUGAUAUUUACUUCUUUGCAGUUAAAGUUCUCAGCCUCUGCAGAUUUUUAGGGUUUGAGGAUUGUGCAAAGUCCUAAUGAAUUUGUCAACUCUUUAUUGGGAGCACAAUGCGAGGCUGCUGCUUCAUUUGGUGUAAAGACAAUUUUGCUAGAGAAAUACAUCACUCAGUCAAGACACAUAGAAGUCCUCAUUGCUUUUCCAAUCCAUCAAUAUGGUAUUGGAUGGUAUUAUAAAUUCAUAAAAUUGAAUCAUGGUCUUCCUCCUGAAAGUUCAUGGUUCAGAUUCAAAUAUUUCCAUGAUAUUUGGAGACAAAUAUGGAAAUGUACUACAUUUAUAUGAAAGGGAUUGCACCAUACAGAGAAGACAUCAGAGGAUAAUUGAAGAAGCACCAACUCUAUGUAUUAUGUAACGUUUGGUUCCUUUAGUUUCACAGUUCAGUUUUUUCACUACAUAUCUACAAAAGUUGUAACUGGAACUCCCAUUGAUGCAGCCAAAUGUUAUGAAUGGCUUCCGCUCCCACUUGGGUCAGUCUGCAGUAUCUGCAGCCAAGGCAAUGCUCAUCUAAUUGAAUUUGCUGAAUGAAAAUUAUAUUGUGGUCUAUUUAUAAACUAAAUAUUCUUAUGUAUUGAAAACAGGGCCAAAGAAGAACUCCCCUUUGAAGCCUUAUAAAGAAAAAAUUUGUUCACGUUUUAUUUUUCAUAAAGCUAUACUAUCCUAGUAAAACCUGUCUAUGCCCCUUUGAUGAGAAGAGAUUGAUGUUAAAUGUAAAUUGACAUGAUUUACUCAGCUGAUUUUAUUAGCUGCUAGCAUGUUUAUUGUUAUAGGUAAUUUUUGAGAUUCAGACUUUACUGGUGAAAACUUUGGCUUGCAUAUUUAACUUUGAUGAACAGUGACUUUUAGACUGUGGGCCUUUUUGAACUUAGAAAUAGAGAGCCUUACAUAUGGGUUAUGAUUUUAAUUUGAAUAUAUUUUCAGGGAACAAGCGAUAUAUUGGUAUUCCAGCCAUACUAUAUUAGUGUUUCAGCAUGAUGGGAAUUACCUACUACCUAAUUGGCCUCAGUAAGCAAAUAAAUGCACCAAAUUCUGCUCCUCCAAAUACUCUGUUGGUAAAGAUUCAUGAAAAUUUUUUGAAUCUUCUUAUCCAUAUGGAAGCCUAACCAAAUUGGUAUACCAUCUUGCUUCAAGUACAUGGGAUCCUGAGCUUGUAAGGUCUAUUCAUGCAGCAAGGAACGAAGUUUGUAAUUGGCUUGUUUUUGAAGACAGUGAGAUUAAAGUGGAAUUCCCAAGAAUUUUAAAUUAGCUUGGUUGCAAAAAGAAAAUUUUUGAGUUUUCUCUUGUUUGUAGCAUAAUUGUGCUAUUAAUUUGAGAAGUAUAAGCCUACAAGCUUGCUAUCAUUUUCUUUCAUUUGGUUCUUCAUAUUUUGGAAGCUUUUUCAUAAUUUUUGUUCAAUUUUCAACUCCUUUAAUGACACUUUAGUAUGACAUAUAUACCAAAAAAGGCAGUUAAUUAGCAUAGUGCUGGUACUGUGGAGUUUAUAGUUUACAAAGUCUCUGGCCAAUUUUAUUUAUGGAGACGAACACACAACUUAAGGUGCUUAACGUUUUAUUUUCAAUGUUGUUAUCCUUAAUCCCAUAAGUUUAACAAAAUCCUAAUAGAGAUAUUCAUAUUCUUUUGUAGGUUGAGCAUCCUGUGACAGAGAUGAUUGUUGGUCAAGAUCUUGUAGAAUGGCAAAUUCAUCUUGCAAAUGGAGAACCACUUCCUCUUACUCAAGUCGUUGGUGCCAUUGUUAGGUAAGCUUGCUUCUGAAAUAUGACCAUUGUUAGUAAAGAUCUUGUAAAAUGAUGUUAUGUCUUUCAUGCUUGCAAACUAAGGCUCUGUUUGGUUAGUAAACAAACAGUACAAGAAAUUGUGCCUUCGUGUAAUGUUCAAAAGGGACCCGGGGGGAUAAAGAAGCCAAAGAAAAAUGAAAAUGUAUAUCAGGUUGAAGUACAUUUUUUUGUUUGCUAUGUCAAGAAGAAAACUUCCUUUUUUGUUGUUUCAGUAAGCUUGAUGACCAAUGCAAUAUCUUUAUCAUUUAGUCUUUGUAUCUUAUGUUUUUCACUUUGACAGGUCAUGCAUUUGAAACUUGAACAUAUGCUGAAAAUGUUUCUAAAGGAUUUCUUCCUGCAACUGGAGUUCUUCAUCAUCAUCAUCCAGUUAUCUCGUCAACAGCUUAUGUUGAAUCUGUCUUGAUCAGCAGUAUGAGUUGAGACUGGAGUUGAAGAGGGGGACAAUGUUAGCAUGCACUAUGAUCCUAUGAUUGCAAAGCUUGCAGUCUGGGGAGAAAACCGUUCUGCAGCAUUAAUCAAACUGAAGGAUUGCUUAUCAAAAUUUCAGGAAUGCACUGACUGGAAUCAUGUGUUUGUUGCAGUUAUGACCUUGGCUCCUUCUUUGAGAAGAAGAACCUUUCACUUGAUAUUUUCACUGCUAAUCAUGAGCUUGGUGGAAAAACUCUGCAUAAAUUUCUAUUAAUUUAUCUGCUUAUAUAGUAGAUGCUUUGACAGUUUGUAUGGAAGGUAAUUUGUGGAUCAAAUAGUCUGGAUGGUUUGAUAUGUUGUAUAUUAAGCGUGGGAGACACUUUAAAAACACUGUUACCCAAUUCUCGCCCCUAAAAAGUGGUAUCCUAGGAGAGAAUUUGAAGAUGUUGAUAUCCUUCAGCAUCUUUCCAUAAUGUGGCUGCUCUUGAUAAUUUAACUUCCACGCUCUGCCUUGAUGGUUGUAAGCCAAAGACUUCAGUGUUGUCCAAUAACUGGGCUAUUACUUAGUAGUCAUUUUAGAUGAAAAACAUGAUUUAUAUCUGGUGAAAAUAAUGUUGUUGUAUAUGAAUCUUGUAGUCUCAAAUCAUUCUGCUACUUCCCUUCUAGAUGUAACUUACCUCAUAUCUGAUGGGCUCUUCACUUGGGUAAGAUUUUUCUUUUUUUGUAAAUAUCUUC